AGCGAACGCUGGCGGCAGGCUUAACACAUGCAAGUCGAGCGGGCACUUUCGGGUGUCAGCGGCGGACGGGUGAGUAACGCGUGGGAACGUGCCCUCUGGUUCGGAAUAACUCAGGGAAACUUGAGCUAAUACCGGAUACGCCCUUUUGGGGAAAGGCUUGCUGCCGGAGGAUCGGCCCGCGUCUGAUUAGCUAGUUGGUGAGGUAACGGCUCACCAAGGCGACGAUCAGUAGCUGGUCUGAGAGGAUGAUCAGCCACACUGGGGCUGAGACACGGCCCAGACUCCUACGGGAGGCAGCAGUGGGGAAUAUUGGACAAUGGGCGCAAGCCUGAUCCAGCCAUGCCGCGUGAGUGAUGAAGGCCUUAGGGUUGUAAAGCUCUUUUAUCCGGGACGAUAAUGACGGUACCGGAGGAAUAAGCCCCGGCUAACUUCGUG
This 435-nucleotide ribosomal RNA is filed under the name uncultured bacterium. RNAcentral's name for it is "partial 16S ribosomal RNA". It matches the Rfam family "Bacterial small subunit ribosomal RNA", at positions 29 to 507 of the family's 1533-position model. The record is from RNAcentral.